GACGAACGCUGGCGGCGCGCCUAACACAUGCCAGUCGAACGAGCGAGAGAGAGCUUGCUUUCUUGAGCGAGUGGCGAACGGGUGAGUAACGCGUGAGGAACCUGCCUCAAAGAGGGGGACAACAGUUGGAAACGACUGCUAAUACCGCAUAAGCCCACGACCCGGCAUCGGGUUGAGGGAAAAGGAGCAAUCCGCUUUGAGAUGGCCUCGCGUCCGAUUAGCUAGUUGGUGAGGUAACGGCCCACCAAGGCGACGAUCGGUAGCCGGACUGAGAGGUUGAACGGCCACAUUGGGACUGAGACACGGCCCAGACUCCUACGGGAGGCAGCAGUGGGGAAUAUUGCACAAUGGGGGAAACCCUGAUGCAGCGACGCCGCGUGGAGGAAGAAGGUCUUCGGAUUGUAAACUCCUGUUGUUGAGGAAGAUAAUGACGGUACUCAACAAGGAAGUGACGGCUAACUACGUG
Molecule: ribosomal RNA, 466 nt
Filed under: uncultured bacterium
Lineage: Bacteria
Description: partial 16S ribosomal RNA
Rfam family: Bacterial small subunit ribosomal RNA
Source: RNAcentral